Long non-coding RNA from Xyrauchen texanus (razorback sucker), 391 nucleotides. RefSeq lists it as uncharacterized. NCBI's taxonomy places the organism in Eukaryota, Metazoa, Chordata, Actinopteri, Cypriniformes, Catostomidae. The transcript is spliced from 4 exons. The record is from RefSeq and is a predicted model, not a curated record.
AGUAUGUUCUGUUCAGGCCAGUGAUGUUCUGCUCUCACGGGACCCCAAGAAACGACGGACAGGAAACACAUUUACUAGUCGGCACCAAGGGCCACUAUUGUGAAAGGUUCAACUUUCCAGAGGGUCAGUGUGUCAAGACUGAGGACAUACUACAGAUUGAAAAAUGGACCAACUGAGAGGAUGUUUCUCCAGGAUCACAGAGAGGGUGCCAUUGAUUUGCCAGUGGUGGUGCAUUCAGCUGAUGGAGAGGUUUUGCCUAGAAGGGUAUGGACAGAGAUUUGCAUACUGGACAGAAGAAGCAUCCCAACUCCUUCAGGGAACCCUUGAGCCUGUCCACCACAAAACUGUUGCCCAGCAGAAGAGUUGUGGUUUAAGAGGACACUGAUAAGGU